Molecule: ribosomal RNA, 254 nt
Filed under: uncultured bacterium
Lineage: Bacteria
Description: partial 16S ribosomal RNA
Rfam family: Bacterial small subunit ribosomal RNA
Source: RNAcentral
UACGAGGGGGGCAAGCGUUGUUCGGAUUUAUUGGGCGUAAAGGGUGCGUAGGCGGUUUGGCAAGUCUUGUGUGAAAUCUUUGGGCUCAACCCAAAGUCUGCACAAGAAACUGCCGGGCUUGAGUAUGGGGAGAGGUGAGUGGAAUUUCCGGUGUAGCGGUGAAAUGCGUAGAUAUCGGAAGGAACACCUGUGGCGAAAGCGGCUCACUGGACCAUUACUGACGCUGAGGCACGAAAGCUAGGGGAGCAAACAGG